GUGGGGAAUUUUGCGCAAUGGGGGAAACCCUGACGCAGCAACGCCGCGUGAGUGAUGAAGGCCUUCGGGUCGUAAAGCUCUGUCAGAGGGGAAGAAGUGUGAGGUGGCUAAUAUCCAUUUCACUUGACGGUACCUUCAAAGGAAGCACCGGCUAACUCCGUGCCAGCAGCCGCGGUAAUACGGAGGGUGCGAGCGUUGUUCGGAAUUAUUGGGCGUAAAGCGCGUGUAGGCGGUUUUUUAAGUCUGAUGUGAAAGCCCUGGGCUCAACCCGGGAAGUGCAUUGGAAACGGGGAGACUUGAAUACGGGAGAGGGCAGUGGAAUUCCUGGUGUAGGAGUGAAAUCCGUAGAUAUCAGGAGGAACACCGGUGGCGAAGGCGGCUGCCUGGACCGAUAUUGACGCUGAGACGCGAAAGCGUGGGGAGCAAACAGGAUUAGAUACCCGAGUAGUCC
RNAcentral lists this ribosomal RNA (451 nucleotides) under uncultured bacterium. RNAcentral's name for it is "partial 16S ribosomal RNA". It matches the Rfam family "Bacterial small subunit ribosomal RNA", at positions 354 to 796 of the family's 1533-position model. The record is from RNAcentral.